UCAGCUUACACUUACUAUUAUCAGGACAACAUUGCAAUCCUCCUUUAUAAUUUGGACUCAAAGCUUCUCCAUUUUCAUCCUUUGUAACACCAUACAAAUCACACUUACACUCAGUACACCCCAUUCUAUCUUCUACACCUAGUAUCAAUAGCAUGAACAUUAAUAAACCAUUUUUCCACAUACCCUUUUGGAAUUUCUUCAGGAUUACCAACUUCUAUGCCAUAAGGGUCAGGAAUAUAUGUAUUUGUGCCUCUUGUUUCAGAUCCAAGACCAUAGUAUUGUCCAAAAACAUUCUCUUGACAAAAUCCAUUGUUUCUUUUAAAAAUAAUACCUUCUUCACUAUUGUUUGCCACAUUUUUAGGUUGGUGAUAUCUUACAACAAUCCAAUGAUGUAGAUAAGUUUGAUGGAGAGGUACUGAAUUCCCUGAUUCAUUAACUACUUCAGCAAAGAAACUCUUGAGUGAAAUAUGACCUCUUGGAAAAUCAACAUCCAUAAAUACUUUAUUUGAAACAGAUCCUGGAUUUAGUUCAAUCUUGGGAGAGAAGAAAACUUUUGUUUGAAUAUUUUUUUUGGUCUUCCUAGAAGCAGCUAAUGAGAAUAGUGUGCUUGAUAACAACACUAGUGCUAGGAUUGCCCAUGAAAGGUUCCUAGUCUGUGAUACAAACCUCAUGUUGAUCUGUUUAUAAGAAGGCAUUAAGUUAACCAUGCCAAAUAUGAUAUUCACUUACUAAGUAAUAUGAAAACAUAUAUAGAUUUGACUCCUUUAUAGUAAAUAUUUGAAGUGAUCAAUUUACUUUAUAAAUGAAGAUUUUUUUUUAUCUGCAAAUAAAAAAAAGUAAAAUAUGUAAUAUGUAGUUAUUAUUAUUUUUAUUAUAAAAAAUUCGAAUGUCAUUUUUCACGAAAAAUCAAACUUCAUUUUGAAGGAUGAUGGACUUGGAUUGUAUAGGGCAACAAACUAUACACCCUUAGAUUUAGAGAGAAAAAUUAUCUCCUAAUUAAUCUAUCAUAGAAGCUCUCACAUUUCUAUGCAUAUCAAGAAAAUGAUGGUAAAAGAAACUACACUCAAAGUUAAGAAAAUGAUUGAAAACCACAUCAAAUUGCAUUUCUUUUGUAUGAAAAGAGCUAGCUAGAAUAUUAUUAGCUACUGCUACUAUACAACUAAUAAUAAGACAAAAUUGAUGAAGAAAUAUAAGCAAAUCAUGUUAUCUUUGAUAAGCAAAACUCAGAAAAGAUGGAUAUUUAUGUUUAUGCCAACAAUGAUGAUGAUGAUUAAGUGUGAAGGAACGUACCUCAAAAACCUGGGAAUAAAUUAUUCUUGAAAAUAAUAGUGUAGCAUUUAGCAAUUAUUAAAAGAUGGUUCAAAAACUGUUAAGCUUGAAACAAAUAUUUAUUCACCAAAAGAUGGAACAAUGUGCCUUUUCAGAUGUUCCAAAGCCAAGCUAUGCGUUUACCAAAUAUGGACAGUAAGAUUCAAUGCUUCUAAUAGGGUCGAAUGAAUGUACUCGGAGACUAACUAUAAAAUACAGCAUUCUUUUUUGACUAACAAUAUUUAUGUUCCUCUUAUUGUAGGACCCACAACAUGUGGUUAUCCAGCAAAGAUACAAUUGAUUACGAUGCAUUAAAUGCAUGUUGCAUGUGUUCCAGAUCGUAGGGCACAAAGUUUGAAAGCAUGUUACAGGUGUUCACACUUUAGGUGUAUGACUUUGGUAAGAGGAGUGCAUUAGUUUCAACUCUCCAUGUUAAAUACUUCAUCUCAAGUAAAGGAUGUCAUAUUCAAUGAAGAAAUUACUAGAAGAAAAGACUUGGGAGCAACUUGUUCAGAGGCCCUUGUCACAAAGCACAGAGGGGGAAAUGUUUAUUUGAAAAGCAUCAAAGAAUAUCUUUUAGUAUAACUUCAAAACUAAAGGCUGAUAUAUUGGAUAUGGUGUUAUUUACACUUAAAAAUAAUUAUCAUUUUAGCCGAACUCGAUAAAUAGGUGAUGACGCAAUCAUGCAAGAAUGCUCCUCUCUAUAGUAUAGGGUAUGCGAUGCUAGAAAAACUGAGUGAGGAAGAUGAUUCUUUCAAGGCCAUCAAAUCAAUAUGUUGGUCGUUAAAUGCUCAAAAAUUGAGUCACAAGCAUAGCGGGAGUGGACAAUGACACAUUACCCACGAUCCCUAUCCCUGCUUUCAACGCCAAUAGUUAUUCCAAGGAAUGAGGAAAGAGACACAAUUUUUAGUGGAUCCACACAUAAAGAGACCUUGUCAACAGGUCAUGCUGAGAAGAGGAAAGUGAGGCCAAACAUGGGGUGCCACGAUCCCACUACCAAGAGAGCUAUCACGCAACAUCCGUGAAAAUUAUCCGAAUAGGGGUUAUGCACGGUACGCCAUGUUGAUUGGCUAAUAUGCAAUAGUCAAACUAUAAUUACAUUCGGGGGCGGAGUGCAUGGGAUGGGGUGCGUCACGGCCCACCCAGAAAAAUAAAAAAAUUAACGACCGUAUGUCUAUUUUGCGAGAUUUUAAACAAUUUUGAUGCGGUUUUAGAGUCCGACAGAUCUAAAUCCCCAUUAAUUGGUGUAGUGGCCCACCUAGAAAAUUAAAAAAUUAAAAAUUAUAGGUUUAUUUUACGAGUUUUUAAACAAUUUUUCAAUGGUUUAGGUUUUCGACGGUUCUAAAAGUAACAUGUGAUUUUUGUCAUGCUUAUACUUGUUUUGGUAGCGGAGGUUUACAUACCUUCUAAUUUUUCGGGUUUUCAAAUCUCCUUUAUAUUGUCUUGUCAAUUGAAAAUUCCUUCAAUUAACAGUUGUAUUAAACAAAAAAGAUUCGUAAUUUAUACCAGUAGUAAACUAUGUAAUUCAUUUUUUUAAAGUACUCAAACUUUUUAGUCAAACUUUUAAUGGCCCACCCAAACUAUUUUUUCUAACUCCGCCACUAAUUACAUUGUAAUUCACAUCCAAUCAACCUAACAAACUUAUUUUUGAAAAUUUAUCCUUUUGCUUCAAGCAGGUAAGAUACAUUUGACACGGAGGUCACCUAAAGUAGUAAAACAAAUUGGCAUCCCGCAAUUUCUGCCUUAUGGCAUAAUUGUGCACUAGUAAAACAAACAUGUCUCGCGAUUGAGGACACGACUAUGAACUAGUAGGAGAAAUCUCACAUCAAGUUUAGGACUACCAGACGGAAUAUCCACAAACAAGUUUUCCACCUGCAUCGGCUAAUCCUGAACAUACCUUCUACGACUCGAUGCUUCUGUACCAACCCUGGUGGGUUUGAAGAGACCUCGACUAGCAGUAAAUUAUGUUGAUGAACAACCAUGAAUCAUGAAUCCACUUUGCCAAUAUAACCUUAUAUUAGCUCAAGCGACUCAUUAGAGAAACAAUGGUGUAGCCGAGGUAAGGCCUCUAGCUUAUAGCCGAUACAAUUCAAGGGGUACUUUGGGAUACAAUUGAAACCAAUGGAUAUGCAUGAGUAUAGGAAGCCAUAUCUAUAAUGGGUAGACAAUUUGGUGCCUCUGUCCAUAGGAGAUAAGAAUCUUGACUUUGCUACCUUAUCGUUGGCAUGAACAACUUUCUCGUGGUACUCUUACCUCCCACCAAACUUAAUCCAAAAUGGAAAGGUGUUUCCAUGACAUGUUUUAUUGGUCUCAACCAGAAGUAAUGUCAACUAAUUUGAUGAAUUUUACACAACAAGUAGAUAAAUCAGUUGUUGACUUCAUUGAGAGGUCCAUGGAGACUGCUGAGAAAUGUUUGGUAUAAUUUCUCGACAUUGAAUAUGCAUCAAUGGCUAUCAAUAGCAUGCAUCCACAUCUAAAAGAGAAAUUGGUUAGGUUAGACAGUCAUGACCUGAACAAAUUGGUUUCCCGAGGAGCACACAGAGCAGUUCAUUCAAGAAAGAAAAAAAAAAGAGUGUUAGCUAAGGGAGAGGUCCAUACCUAAAUCUAUCAUAAAAAUGGCAAGUUUGAUGAUGAUGAUGAUGAUGUGUUGGCCGAUAUAACAACAAAUAUACUAAAGGCUGAAAUCCCGAAAGGGAAAACCUAUAUGUGUCCUGCCUUGAGGUCAAUCAAAGGGAAGAACACCAAUAUCCAUCCUAAGACCGCAAUGUUUAUGCCUUUGACAUAACGAAAGUUGACCAUAUAUUUGAUCAUUUGCUAAAAAAGAAAAGCAGAUUCAGCGACUAGAUGGUCACAUGACCCCUCGACCGAGGAGAUCAAAGGCCAAAUGUAUUAUAAAUGGUACAAUUCCUAUAACCACUCAACCGAUAACUGCAUGAUCUUCCGAAGGACCAUUCAAAACACAAUCAAGGAAGGAGGAUUCAAGUUAGCGGAUAUGGAGUUUCGGAAAUGUUCAUUAACACCAAUUCUUUUCUAGCCAUGGAGAUGACCGUGGUAUCCGUCUCUAAGCCAAGUGGGUUCAUGAUUGCUGGGAAAGGAAAGAAGUUGAUCAUGCAGGUGAAGAGAAUAUAUCAAAAGUGAACUGAAAUGAUAGGGUACAACAUUAUAUAAAGAAGUUAUUCACGCACGAUUAACUAACCAACUUCGUAAUUCUUAGUUUAACUUAAAACUAACCAAACACAACAUAAUAGAAGAAACAACUAAACGAUAACAUAAAUCAAACUGAAAUUUAAAUUAAGUUUUACAUUAUCAAAGCAAUCUAUCGUAUAUUAUUACUACACAGAACGAUAGAAAUGUUAAACACGGUAAGGUGGUAGUUUUUCUGCCACCAAGAAAUAGAAAAGCCCCAUCACUCCAGAGUAUCUUAUGUUGCUGCUGUGGUUAGCCUCUAAAGUUAAAAUUUCACCAUCAAAUAUCUUGAUAGAACCUGGUAUAGGGUAACAAGUUGACAUUCCUACAACAUACCCUUUCUCAUCUCCUGCCCUCCUUCCUUUUCCAUAUUUUGGGAUUGAAGUACAUAUAACCCUCCCAUCCUGGCAUUGAUGUCGCAAUCAAAUUUUCAAAACUUGGAUACAAUAUUUAACUAAAACACUAAAAUGGCAAUAUACCCAAUAUAUAACUUUGAUUUGAGAAAAAUGCAAAUUUAGAACUCCUUUUUAUUUUGAGAAAUUAUUUUUGUACAAUCGGUUUUAAACUUUUGAUGGUUAAUUAGGUUCUAUAGAUGAUUAAGAGCUAUACUAGGUGUCAAAACUCGUCAAACAUCAGUGGCAGAUCUUGCCUAAAAUAUUAAGGGGAUCUAAAAAUACUAAAGUAAAAGUCAUAGUCAUUUCCCCCAAAUGUGAGAUGUAUUUUUGUAUCUUCCUAAGUUAUUUUAUGUAAAAAAAAUUGGUGGGGGUGCUCCCUUGGGCUUCUUAAGAGCUCCGCCGCUGCAUCAACAUAACUUCAUCAACAACGAUAGUUGAUGUGGUUAACCAUAAUUUACGAGUUUUGAUGGAGAUCAUUUGAACAUCUAAAAAAUUAUGGUUAAUCACGUCGAAAUAUGUCUUUUAAAAAAACACGUUUAUAUUUGUUGUUGAUGAAGAAACAAUGAUGGUUAAUAAAGAUAAAUUUAUUAUUCUUUUACUUAGCAUAAUAAGCCACAUAUUUAAACCAUGAGAACCAUUUAAAAAGUUGUGGUUAAAAUAGACAAAAUUUAAUUGUUGAAAUAACACAACUUAUUUAGUUUUAAGCUACUCAAUGCUGCAAUAUUUUCAUGUAUGUAGGCACCAUGUAACUUCAAAGUAGUAUUCAAAAGUUAACACUUAUUGUGAUAAUUUAAUGUCACCUGUCCAUAUAGAGUUGAUCCAAUUGCACCUGAAUGCUGAUGGCCAACUCCAUAUAUGACAUAACCGCCGUUUUGCAUUGGGAAGCUUGCUCUCUUGACAUCAACACAACUACUGCGAUUCACAAAACUUGUGUUGCAAGGUUCAACUUCAUACUCAAGCUGUAUAUGUAACAAAGAAUAUAUGUUAAUCACACGAACUAGUAUUAUAUAUAUUUUUCUAAUAAAAUUGAGAUUCAAAUAUGAAUUUAAUUACUAUGCAUAAUUAACAGUGUAAAAACAUUUUAUGUACACAUCUAAUCUAAUCAUAACAUGUAUCAACCUGACUCUGACAGUACCAAUCGACGAGAUUUCAACAAAUUUGUACGUUUAAUCAAUGAUAAAUACAAUAUAUAACAUAUGAUCAUUUGGCUUACCUUGCAAUCAUGGUUUGGUCUCAUUCCUUUGGACUUAUCUGAAAUCUUCAAAGUAUCAGUCACAUCAAAUAUAUAAAUCUUAACAGGAAUCAUAUACUUUUCCCAAUUAACCCAAGUAAUAGUGUAUUUCAAAUAAACACUUUGUUUUGGUCCUAAAAACCCUUUACUCAGCUUACACUUACUAUUAUCAGGACAACAUUGCAAUCCCCCCUUAUAAUUUGGACUCAAUAUUUUUCCAUUUUCAUCCUUUGUAACAUUAUACAAAUCACACUUACACUCAAUACACCCCAUUCUAUCUUCUACACCCCUAGUAUCAAUAGCAUGAACAUUAAUCAACCAUUUUUCCACAUACCCUUUUGGAAUUUCUUCAUGAUUACCAACUUCUAUUCCAUAAGGUUGAGGAAUAUAUGUAUUUGUGCCUCUUGUUUCAGAUCCAAGACCAUAGUAUUGUCCAAAAACAUUCUCUUGACAAAAUCCAUGAUUUCUUUUAAAAAUAAAACCUUGUUGGCUAUUGUUUGUCACAUUUUUAGGUUGGUGGUAUCUCACAACAACCCAAUGGUGUAGAUAAGUUUGAUGGAGAGGUAUUGAAUGCCCUGAUUCAUCAACUACUUCAGCAAAGAAAUUUUUGACUGAAAUAUGACCACUUGGAAAAUCAACAUCAUAAUAUAUUUUAUUUGAAACAGAUCCUGGACUUAGUUCAAUCUUGGGAGAGAAAAAAACUUGUGUUUGAAUAAUUUUUUUGGUCUUCCUAAAAGCAUAUGAUGAGAAUGGUGUGCUUGACAACAACACUAGUGCUAGGAUUGCCCAUAAAAGGUUCCUUGUUUGUGAUACAAACCUCAUCUUGAUCUGUUUAUACAAAACAAAUAAUUAAAAGCAAUUGCAUAUAUAGAAGUCAUUAAACCAUGCCAAGUAAAAUGAAAACAUAUAUAGAUUUGGUUCGUGUAUAGUAAAAUAUUUGAAGUCAAUCAAUUCACUUUAUAAAUGAGGAUUUUUUUUAUGUGCAAAUAAAAAAAAGUAAAAGAAGUAAAAUGUGUAAUUAUUACUUUUUUUACUGUAAAAAUUGGUUAUAAUACAUGUUUACCCUUUUAAUAUUAGCGAUUUUCGGUUUACCUCCUGUAAAAAAAAAUUAGAUUUCAACUCUGUAAUUUGAAGAUUCGGUUUUGGACCUUCACGACUUUUGACUGUACAAAAUUGAUGAUAUGGCAGGAGGGUAAACCGAAAUUAUCCCAAAUUACAAGAGGCGAAAGUACCUUAAAUUUUGUAAUUUGAUGCUAUGAAGGUCCAAAACCAAAGAAUUUUCAAAUUACAGGGUUGAAAUCUAAACAAAAAUAUUUUUACAGAGGGUGAAACGAAAAUUGCUAAUAUUACAGAGGAUAAUCAUAUAUUAACCCAAAUUUGUAUGUUAUUUUUCACUCAAAAUCAAACUUCAUUUUGAAGGAUGAUGGACUUGGAUUGUAUAGUGCAACAAAUUAUACACCCUUAGAUUUAGAGAGAAAAAUUAUCUCCUAAUUAAUCUAUCAUAGAAGCUCUCACAUUUCUAUGCAUAUCAAGAAAAUGAUGGUAAAAGAAACUGCACUCAAAGCAUCAAAUUGCAUUUCUUUUGUUUGAAAAGAGCUAGCUAGAAUACUACUACUAGCUACUGCUACUAUACUCCUAAUAAUAAGACAAAAUUGAUGAACAAACAUAAGCAAAGAUGGAUAUUCAUGUUUAUGUCAAUGAUGAUGAUGAUUAAGUGUGAAGGAACGUACCUCAGAAACUUGGGAAGGAAUUAUUCUUGAAAAUGAUAGUGUAGCAUUUAGCAACUAUAUAUUAAAAGAUGGUUCAAAAUCGUUAAGCUUGAAACAAAUAUAUAUUCACCAAAAGAUGUUGCAAUGUGCCUUUUCAAAUGUUCCAAAUAUGGUUGUAACAAAACAAAGAUUAUCCAAAUAUGGACAGUAAGAUUCAAUGCUUCUAAAUGAAUAGGGUCGAAUGAAUCACUUGGAGACUAACUAUAAAAUAUUCUUUUUUUGACUAACAAUGUUAUGUUCCUCUUAUAGGACCCCCAACAUGUAUAAAACAGCUUAUUUGAUUAAAGCCUAACAUAUGUUUUUUUUUUUUUUUUUUUUAUAUAAAAAGUUAGAUAGGUUUUCCAAGUGAUAAUUAGAAGCACAUGGAAGAUUGUUAUUGUCUCCAUUGAAAUGGUUUAUCUAAAUCAAACGGAUCAUAUAACCAGACUAGAAUAAAUUUGGGAAAUACUAACAAGUGUCUUGAGGGUAUUUGUUAACAAGUUCAAAAACAAAACUUUAUCUUAAAAAUGAUACAUUCAAUACAUUGAAACUUUAAAAAAUAUUUUUUUUUAUAUAGAAUUUUUCAAUAAUUUCUAUUCUUGAAUCUUAUUAGCAACAUUUAAUAAAUGUUGGUCCCCAAAACACUUAAAAGAAACUUUAGUUUUAAAAUAGUAAAUAAUUAGAGAAAGAGAAAACACACUCGUGCAAAGCCAAAGAAAGAAAACAUUAUGUAAAUUAAAGGUUUUGGUUUUUUUUUUUUUUUCUUUUCUGGCUUUUGAGUACAUGAUUUAGUGGAAGUUUUGCAACCUUUUAUAGAAGGUGCGUAGAGUUUUUUCACUAUGCAAUUACGUUAGGAUUGCACUUGUACUCCGAUAAAAAAUAAAAAAAAAAGUUGUUUAUAAAAAUAAAAACUGCAAAAUGAGAAUUCCAAGUUUAAAACCAACUCAAAAAUUGAACAUUGAUUGGAAAAUAAAAUAAUGAAUUUAGAUGGAGAAGAAAAUGUGCUUACGAGUAACAACGUCCAAUUGAUGAACACUAGUAAUUUGAGGACCAUAACGAAAUUGUAUAAGCACAAGGAUGUAAUUUUUUUUAAUUGUGGUAUUAGGAUUUCAUUAAAAAUGAUAUCAAAGAUUACAGUUUCUUUUUUAUCACAAAUGUUUUUGACACAUAGGCCCCGUUUUUUUUUGGAUAUUUUUCAAAAGAAAUUUAAUUGUUUCCUAAAAAAAUCACUUUUUAUUUUUAUUUUUAAGUGUUUGUUUAGGAUUUUUAGAAAAAUCAUUUUAUCAAACAAAUAUAUUUUGACUCUAAAAUGAAAAGCUAUUAGGAUUAGCUUUUCUCAAAAUCUUUUUUUUUUUUUAAACAAAGAGGUAACACAUGCACAUGUUAAAACUCAUUUUCUUUAAAAAAAAAAAAAAAAAAAAGGAUUUUUAUGGAUAAUAGGCAAACAAAAAUAACUUCAAUUUUUUUUUUUAAAUCAUUAAAAAUUAAUCUCUAGAUUAUUUUAACACAAAAUUUAUUUUUUUAAAGCUAAAACAAACGCACCCAUAAACUAAUCUAAACAUAUUAGGGACAUGGCGUGCAAAGUUUUUUUUAAUUAUAAAAAUUAACAUAAUUAAAAAAUAUGUACAGAAAAGUGUGUUACUUACUUGGCUUGCAUAUUCUAAGAAAUGGAAGAUUUCAUCAAGAGAAAGAGAAAGACAUAAAUGAGAUAUUGAUGGAACCAAUUUCUAAAAAGACUUCUAACUUUAUCAACAAAUUAACCAAAAUUUUGUACACAAGGAUAAUGACACAAGAAUAUUACGCGAUAAUGGAAGAUUUCCCUUGGGUCAUUACAUGUGUACAAAAUUUUCCAUUAUCGCGCAAUCUUAUGGAAAAAGACACAUUUACGUGUUGGGUGUAUUUCCAUUCGAUACAGCUAGUGUAAGUAAAGACAAAAGACGUUAAAAAUCUACAUGUGAUGAAGAGUUAUCAAUGAUCCAAGUAAAGAGAAUAAAUCAAAAGGGUACUGAAAUGAUAGGGUACAACAUUACAUAGAUAAGUUGUUCACACAAGAUUAACUAACCAACUUCACAAUUGGUAGCUUAACACAACAUAAUAACAAAAGCAACUAAAUGAUAACAUAAAUCUAACUGAAAUUUAAAUUAAGUUUGAUACUAUCAAAGUAAUCCAUUGUAUAAUUCACCAUACAAAGAAUGAUAGGAAUGUUAAACAUGGUAAUGUGGUAGCUUUUCUGCCACCAAGAAAUAGAAAAGUCCCAUUACUCCAGAGUGACUUAUGUUGCUACUGUAGUUACUCUCUAAUGUUAAAGUCUCACCAUCAAAUAUCUUGAUAGAACCUGGUUUAGGGUAACAUGUUGACAUUCCUACAAUAUACCCUUUCUCAUUUCCUGCUUUCCUUCCUUUUCCGUACUUUGGGAUUGAAGUACAUAUAACUCUCCCAUCCUAACAUUAAUAUCACAGCCAAAAUUUCAAAACUUUGAUCCAAUAUUUAAUUAAAAUAUUAAAGUAAUAAGGGUACAAAGAGUAUAACUAAUAAACGAAGUAAAAGUAGCAUAUAUAGUCUAAUUAUAAAGGUUGAUCACAUUAAAGCAAAAUAUCAAGAUGCCCAAUAUAUAUAAUUGGAUGAGGGAAACCGCAAAUUUAAAACUCAUUUUUUAUUUUGAUAAAUUAUUUUUACACGAACAAUUUUAGAUAACUUGCGCAACAAUUUUUUAAGGGAUUAACAAAGUUUAACUAGAUUGUUAAUUACGUUUGGUAGAUGAUUAAGAGAUAUAUUACAUGUCGAAACUCAUGAAGUGGCAAUGCAACUUCAUCGUUCACGACUUUGAUUGUGGUUUAACCAUAAUUUGCAUGUGUUUAACUACAUGUAGAUUUGCAUAUAUCUUAAAAAGGGUUAUAAGGGGGUAAAUAAAAAAAAAUUACACGAGGAAAAAUCGGAAAUGACUUAUAUUACAGGGAGAUAAAGCACUAUUAACCCUCUUAAAAAUUAUGUUAAUCAAGUUUAAACACAUUGAUGAUUCAUGAGUUUUUAUACCAGAUAUUUCCCUUAAUCAUUUUCUUAACGUAGUUAAAUACUUAUUUGUACUCCGUUAACCAUUUAAAAGUUGUGGUAAAAGUUGAACAAUUUUAAUUUUUCAAAUAACACAACUUAUUUAUUUUUAAGGUAUGUAUGCACAGGGACCGGACCCAUAAAUAUUGUAUAAUGAGGGCCAUGUCAAAUGACGGACCCAAAAUUUUUAAAUGAUGUAGGUAACACAUGUAACAUUUCAUUUUUAAAAGCAUAAAUAUACAUAAUAAUUAUCUCUACGGUUUUUCAUAUCUUAAAAUAUUGAAUGAUUUUCUCAUUUACAGUGUCAAUAAGAACACACUCGAUAUAAAAAAUCAAACAAUUUUUUCAUUUUAUCAUUCAUUUCUCUAGAGAUUUCGCACCUGAUUUUUGAUAGCAGAAAGAUCUUUUUCAAUUGUUACAGUUGUCGCAGUUAAUAUCAAAAACUACUCUGAAAGCAAAUAUAUCAACAGAAAAGUAAACACUAUCAAAACUAAUAGUAUAAAUUCACUCGAAUAAUCAGAACUCAUACUCAAAUAAGCACUACCUACCAAAAUAAUUAUAUAUAUUAUGUGUUAUUAAAUUAUUAAAAUAAAUAAUAUAUCUUCCCCUUAAUUCUCUCUAUGUUGUUCCUUUUGUAUAUAUAUUAUAAUAUAAUAAUAAUCUAUAUUGUAUAGACUAUACACUUCUAUUAUCUAUGAAGUCAUUACUUUAAGGUAAAAAAAACUUAAUAAUCUGGAACUAGAACUACACAUAGCCAAAAGGUAAUACCAAGAAAAUACUAUCUUACCACCAACACAAUAGAAGGGUAUUAAUUUUUUAUUUUCAUUUUCAAAUCAAGUGAAGGCCCAGGCCCACAUCAUGCUCUACAUGGGUCCGUCCGUGUGUAUGCACCAUGUCACUAGUGAGCAGUGGUAUUCAAAUAUUAACAAUGAUUGCAAUUAUAAUGUUCACCUUUCCAUAUAGAGUUGAUCCAAUUGCACCUGAAUGUUGAUGACCAACUCCAUAGAUGAGAUAACCACCAUUUUGCAUUGGGAAGCUUGUUCUCUUGACAUCGACACAACUACUUGGAUUCUCAAAACUUGUGUUGCAAGUUUCAACUUCAUAUUCAAUCUGUAUAUGUAACAAAGAAUUUAUGUUACUCACACAUGAACUAGUAUUAUAUAUUUUUUUUUCUUGUUAAAUUGAGAUUCAAAUAGGAUUUUAAUAAUUAUGCAUCAACUAUGUAAAAAUAUUUAUAUACACAUCAAAUUAUAUUAACUAUAUAGAUAUAUGAACAAGUAUAUUCGAAAGUAAAAUUACAUAACUCGAAGAACUAAGUAUAUACUUAUGUUUCUCUCAAAAAAAGUAUAUACUUAUGUUAGAAUCCUUUCUUUAGACUUAUAUCAAAAGAAAGCAACAUAUAAGUGUACAUAUGAAUUGCACAAAAGUCAUAACAUGUAUUAGGCCGAGACACUAAUACCAAUUGAUGUGAUUUCAACAAAUUUGUAGGAAAUACAAUAUAUAACAAAUGAUCAUGUUAUGUCCUAUCAUGUUGAAGGAAAUUAAAUUUUUAUAUAAAUUAUAUUUUGAUUUGGCUUACCUUGCAAUCAUGGUUUAGUCUCUUUUCUUUAGACUUAUCUGAAAUCUUCAAACUAUCAGUCACAUCAAAUAUAUAAAUCUUGACAGGCACCAUAUACUUUUUCCAUUUGAUCCACAUAAUAGUGUAUUUUAAAUAAAGAUUUUGUUUUGGUCCUAAAAAUCCUUUACUCAACUUACACUUACUAUUAUCAGGACAACAUUGCAAUCCCCCCUUAUAAUUUGGACUCAAUAUUUUUCCAUUUUCAUCCUUUGUAACAUUAUACAAAUCACACUUACACUCAAUACACCCCAUUCUAUCUUCCACACCCCUGGUAUCAAUAGCAUGAACAU
RNAcentral lists this long non-coding RNA (12824 nucleotides) under Medicago truncatula (barrel medic). RNAcentral's name for it is "lncRNA gene8652". The record is from RNAcentral. Lineage: Eukaryota; Viridiplantae; Streptophyta; Magnoliopsida; Fabales; Fabaceae.